Molecule: long non-coding RNA, 630 nt
Organism: Mastomys coucha (southern multimammate mouse)
Lineage: Eukaryota; Metazoa; Chordata; Mammalia; Rodentia; Muridae
Exons: 2
Source: RefSeq, a predicted model, not a curated record
CGCUGCGGUCCACGCUUGCCCCAGCAAGGUGUCUGGUGACUGAUGACCCGGUCUGCGUCCUUAAGAGGGCCGGGACGUGCAAGUUGUGAAGAUAACAGGGGUGAGCAGUUUCUCUUCAACACCAAGAGCCCGUUCAUUUCAGCUUUGAUUUCUGCCUCAAGGACUUUAAUUCCUAAAGGACCAAGGGAAGGAAGGAGUUCCAUUUGCUGAGGCUUCUCAAGGCCGACCAGGGGUAUAGAUCCUGCCUGUUCAAGGACUGGAACUCUCAACCUGCUAAAUCUUGGGUAGACAUAAGGAGGUUUGAGUUUGGAGCUCGGAGGAUUAUCAUUCUUUGGCAAUCUGAAGAAGGGAUGUUGUUACUCAGGACUCAAAACUGUAUGAACAGUAAAACACACAUCAGAUCUCUAUAUCCAGUCCUGGAAUCAGCACCAAAUCUAGGACUUUUCUCCACCAUGAAGUUGUUAAAAGGAAAAGUAGUGACAAAGUCACUGCAAAUGAAGGGAGAAAAUGGACAAACAGCCUAUCAGGCUAUCUGCAGCAAAACAAAACAAAAAACCAACCAACCUCUCCCCACCCCCAAAUGGCUAUAGUAUUCUACCUGAAAAAACAAUUAAACCAAUGGCAAGCUGG